RNAcentral lists this ribosomal RNA (440 nucleotides) under uncultured bacterium. RNAcentral describes it as "partial 16S ribosomal RNA". It matches the Rfam family "Bacterial small subunit ribosomal RNA", at positions 338 to 795 of the family's 1533-position model. The record is from RNAcentral.
CCUACGGGUGGCAGCAGUAGGGAAUAUUGCUCAAUGGGGGAAACCCUGAAGCAGCAACGCCGCGUGGAGGAUGAAGGUUUUCGGAUUGUAAACUCCUUUUGUUAGAGAAGAUAAUGACGGUAUCUAACGAAUAAGCACCGGCUAACUCCGUGCCAGCAGCCGCGGUAAUACGGAGGGUGCAAGCGUUACUCGGAAUCACUGGGCGUAAAGAGCUCGUAGGCGGGAUAGCAAGUCAGAUGUGAAAUCCUAUGGCUUAACCAUAGAACUGCAUUUGAAACUGUUAUUCUAGAGAAUGGGAGAGGUAGGUGGAAUUCUUGGUGUAGGAGUAAAAUCCGUAGAGAUCAAGAGGAAUACUCAUUGCGAAGGCGACCUGCUGGAACAUUACUGACGCUGAUGCACGAAAGCGUGGGGAGCAAACAGGAUUAGAUACCCGAGUAGUC